Molecule: long non-coding RNA, 285 nt
Organism: Octopus sinensis (East Asian common octopus)
Lineage: Eukaryota; Metazoa; Mollusca; Cephalopoda; Octopoda; Octopodidae
Exons: 2
Source: RefSeq, a predicted model, not a curated record
ACAAAUAGCAGCUCAUCCCACUCACGAUUUUUCCGGCUUCUACCUUUGCUUUCAUUCUGAAUGGGCAAUUAACUUUAUUUAUAGUCUACCAAUGUAGCAAAAAGAAAGCACGAAAAAUAUUUUCAGUUGGUUCAAUGGAAAACCAAUUGACUAAUAAUGUUUAUUAUUGGCAUAAAGACCUUCCUGGGAAACAACAAAAUGCGUCACAAUACGCGAGUUCAUAUCAAGAAUUUUGUAAACUAUAUACAAAACCAGAAAGUGGUUUUCGUCUUUAGUAAAACAAAA